Lepidothrix coronata (blue-crowned manakin) is the source of this 2043-nucleotide long non-coding RNA. RefSeq lists it as uncharacterized. NCBI's taxonomy places the organism in Eukaryota, Metazoa, Chordata, Aves, Passeriformes, Pipridae. The record is from RefSeq and is a predicted model, not a curated record. The transcript has 2 exons.
GCGGCGGCGGCCUCGGGUCCCCCGGGAGCGGCACCGGCACCGGCACCAGAUCCAAUAACCACAUUUCAGAGGGAUGAAGAAUACAAUGUAUUACUCGACAUCGGAUGCCUAAAUGCUUUUCAGACUAUUCACAAACUAUAACACUUCUGGCUAUUAAUGAACUCAAUCCCUUCACGCUGAUGUACAGCAAGACUCUCUCUCUCCACUUGUUGCCCUUUAUUGAACUUACCUCUGUGCCUGCACACAAGCUCCGAAACCUAGAGCUUUGUAAAAGAAACCUAGCCAAGUAAUACAAGCACACAGCUGUAGGUGACAAAGUCUCAACCUUUUAAUUUUCAUACUGACUCGUUUGACACAGCUGGGCAAGUCAUUGCAGUGCUUCCUGCUUCUUUAAGAAAAAAGAAUAGUAUAAUUAAAUUAGUGGUCACGUGGUUCCGACUGUUAAGCUCAAGCAAGCUUUAUCAAAGUGUUUUUAUUGUUUAAAGAUGGAAAGCACAAUAAUGUUUUGAGUAAAGAACAAUAAAUGUAGCAACUACUAUCCUGCUUUACCUACGUACUCCCACAUCUUUCUUUCCGAGAUUACAGUCUGAAAAAGUAUGGCAGAGCAUUACUUAAAAAUAGAAAAUAUACAACAAUGACAUCAGGACAUAUCAUAAGAAAAUGGGCUAUUUAAAUAUCCAAGCAAAAAAAAGUCCUACUUUGAAUAGCAAAAAGUUUUCAUCUUUAUGAGAUACUCUUAAAUACAGUCCAUUUCAGAGUAGGAACUGUGGUCUUUCUCUCAUCUGACAUUCUCUAUUUAAGAGCUUUUAAUCUGUAUUAGCAACAGUACUUCAUCUCCUGUCCCAGAAUCUACAGCAUCUUUAAAAAGUAGAGUAGUUCUGCUCCAAGAGAUUGGUUUUGGUAGGUUUCUUCAUUUUUUAUUUCUUUUUUUUAUUUUCAUUCUUUAUUUCUUCGUUUAUUUGUUUAAAGGUUAUGAAAGGAUGCAGUCAUUUCAUACACUCAUGGGCUAAAGGACAAAAUAAUUAAAAACCUACAAGAGUUUCUGAAAAUGGUAUUUGGAAAUCACUUCCUUUCAUCCUUCAAAAGAAGGAACAGAAGGAACUGCAAGAGACUAUCCUUUACCAUAUACAUGGUAGGAAUGAACCGGGAGAUAUGUUUGAUAAGAGUAUCACAAUCAUAUAUAUAAUGACAAAUAAUGUACUUUUCCAUUUCUAUCCAGUAUUACUGAUAGGCCGUGAAACUCAGACGUGGUUCUCAAGUUCUCUUGGUCUGGAAACAAAAAGUAUGUUGCUCUUCUUCAAGUUUUUGUAUUCAUCACAAAAAUAUCAUCCCCAGUUUGGGAAAACCAACAGAUGAGUGGCCCAAAAAAGGGCCCAGACUGCAGCAGUUACAGUGAAUGUCAUAACUCAGGAUUGCAGUCAUUGGCAGGGAUGUCUGAGGAAGCUUGCAUAACAUCUGCUUGCAACAUGCCUGAUUCAAACCAGCACUCCUCCUCUCAUGAACAUUGAUGACUUUUUAAAAGUAAAAUAAACUUGGUCAUUAUGCGAGCAAAUUGAUUUUCCUGGGUGCUUACCCAAAUCUGCUUGAAGCAACAGAAAGUACUCAGUUUAAAAGCUAUUUUUUUACAUUUGCUAAAUAUUUAUACCACAGCUGUGUCCUUUUUUUCUCUUUAUUUUAGUCUUGUGAGCUCAUUCCUGUGAGCCAUACCCAGAGAGCCCUCUUUAUGACGCCGGAGGGACUACUCCUGUAGAGGGAUUGAUGUAGUUAAAAAUCCCUGCUCACUGCUUUGAACAUUUGUAGUGCUUCAUUGCCAUUAUGUUAGCAUGGUAGGGAACAUGGAAAGACACACUUCAUUUUGGAUGUUUGCUCCCUGGGUUGUUUUUCACAGAUGGUUUUAUUUUCAGGUUUCUUAGUUGUCUUGUUCCUCUUAGAAGGUGUGGCUGGUUAUUUUGACUCAGAUUAUGGCUCUAUAGCUUCCAUGUAAGCCCCAUCAUCAUUUUUAGUACUGACAAUAUAAAUAAAUCAAUCAUAAGUUAAAAGGUU